This 45-nucleotide non-coding RNA is filed under the name Schistosoma curassoni. Lineage: Eukaryota; Metazoa; Platyhelminthes; Trematoda; Strigeidida; Schistosomatidae. The record is from RNAcentral.
AUCCAGUUAACGAGUCCCAAAUAGGACGAUACGCGCGUCCUGGAU